RNAcentral lists this ribosomal RNA (305 nucleotides) under uncultured bacterium. RNAcentral's name for it is "bacterial SSU rRNA". It matches the Rfam family "Bacterial small subunit ribosomal RNA", at positions 335 to 658 of the family's 1533-position model. The record is from RNAcentral.
AGUCCUCGGGAGGCAGCAGUGGGGAAUAUUGCACAAUGGGGGAAACCCUGAUGCAGCAACGCCGCGUGAGUGAAGAAGUAUUUCGGUAUGUAAAGCUCUAUCAGCAGGGAAGAAAAUGACGGUACCUGACUAAGAAGCCCCGGCUAACUACGUGCCAGCAGCCGCGGUAAUACGUAGGGGGCAAGCGUUAUCCGGAUUUACUGGGUGUAAAGGGAGCGCAGGCGGCGCGGUAAGUCUGAUGUGAAAGCCCGGGGCUCAACCCCGGGACUGCAUUGGAAACUGUCGUGCUGGAGUGUCGGAGGGGG